RNAcentral lists this ribosomal RNA (468 nucleotides) under uncultured bacterium. RNAcentral's name for it is "partial 16S ribosomal RNA". It matches the Rfam family "Bacterial small subunit ribosomal RNA", at positions 28 to 507 of the family's 1533-position model. The record is from RNAcentral.
GAUGAACGCUGGCGGCGUGCUUAACACAUGCAAGUCGAACGGAAAGGCCCAAGCUUGCUUGGGUACUCGAGUGGCGAACGGGUGAGUAACACGUGGGUGAUCUGCCCUGCACUUCGGGAUAAGCCUGGGAAACUGGGUCUAAUACCGGAUAGGACGAUGGUUUGGAUGCCAUUGUGGACAGUUUUUUCGUUGUGGGAUGAGCUCGCGGCCUAUCAGCUUGUUGGUGGGGUAAUGGCCUACCAAGGCGUCGACGGGUAGCCGGCCUGAGAGGGUGUAUGGCCACAUUGGGACUGAGAUACGGCCCAGACUCCUACGGGAGGCAGCAGUGGGGAAUAUUGCACAAUGGGCGCAAGCCUGAUGCAGCGACGCCGCGUGGGGGAUGACGGCCUUCGGGUUGUAAACUCCUUUCGCUAGGGACGAAGCGUUUUUGUGACGGUACCUGGAGAAGAAGCACCGGCUAACUACGUG